RNAcentral lists this ribosomal RNA (932 nucleotides) under Palythoa heliodiscus. Its description in RNAcentral is "partial 16S ribosomal RNA". It matches the Rfam family "Bacterial large subunit ribosomal RNA", at positions 1599 to 2571 of the family's 2925-position model. The record is from RNAcentral. Lineage: Eukaryota; Metazoa; Cnidaria; Anthozoa; Zoantharia; Sphenopidae.
CACAAAGUGCCAGGAAAGAAUUAUUCAAGCUCUUCCCUGACGGCCUCCUUCUGGCAAGGGUACUGUACUAAAGUAAGUAAAGUGGGGGAUAGUGAGGGGAUAAAUUUUCUUACGGGACUCUGCCAAAUCCCAAUGGCCCACCAGGGACAUAUUGGAACACGGGCCUCGACUGUUCUACCAAAAACAUAGCCCUCGGCUAAUAUGAAAAUAGAUGUAUAGAGGGUGAUGCCUGCCCAAUGGUUGUAUCUAAAAGCGGUUGAUAAAAGUCGACCUCGUAAGGACAAUUGAAUGGCCGCGGUAACACUGACCGUGAUAAUGUAGCGUAAUCAAUAGCCAAUUAAUUGUUGGCCAGUAUGAAUGGCGCCACGAAGGCCCCACUGUCUUAAGGAAAUUCCCAGUGAAAUUGAAUUCGUAGUGAAGAUGCUACGUCCAAUUUGUUAGACGAAAAGACCCCGUUGAGCUUUACUGGGGCACUUACACGGCCCCGGCCUUCCCGUGUCCGGGAACCGGCCGAAUUUAAUUGGGUGGUUUAGACUAUGUGGCAGCCCCCCGCCGGGGCAGAUGAAACCCCACUCCCCCAUGUCAAAGGGGCUAACCCCCUCUUGGGGGGGAGAGUGUAAGUAGGACAGUUUGGUUGGGGCGACCGCCUUUUAAAGAGUAACGAAGGUGCGCUUAAGGUGCGCAAUUAAUGACUGAAGCCUGCCUGCGAGGGGGACACCCCGAGCAGACACCCCUAAGCCCGCCCGAAGUGGCGUGCGGUGGGGUGGGCCAUCAGUGUCCCGUUAAUUUAGAGUGGAAUAGUUAACGAUCAUCGAAUAAAAGUUACCACGGGGAUACCAGCGUAAUAUCGUUCGAGAGUUCACGUACGACGACUGAUGUUUGCGACCUCGAUGUUGAAUUGCGGCAUCCUGGGGUGCAGCCGCUCUCACUUG